Molecule: ribosomal RNA, 459 nt
Filed under: uncultured bacterium
Lineage: Bacteria
Description: partial 16S ribosomal RNA
Rfam family: Bacterial small subunit ribosomal RNA
Source: RNAcentral
CCUACGGGAGGCAGCAGUGAGGAAUAUUGGUCAAUGGCCGGAAGGCUGAACCAGCCAAGCCGCGUGAAGGACGAAGGUGCCAAGCAUUGUAAACUUCUUUUGUCAAGGGACAAAAUCAGGCUCGAGAGCCUGACCGAGGGUACUUGAAGAAAAAGCAUCGGCUAACUCCGUGCCAGCAGCCGCGGUAAUACGGAGGAUGCGAGCGUUAUCCGGAUUUAUUGGGUUUAAAGGGUGCGUAGGCGGACUGUUAAGUCAGCGGUAAAAGCCCGGGGCUCAACCCCGGCGAGCCGUUGAAACUGGCGGUCUUGAGAUGUCGAGAGGUAUGCGGAAUGCGAAGUGGAGCGGUGAAAUGCUUAGAUAGUGCGCAGAACUCCGAUUGCGAAGGCAGCAUACCGGCGGCGAUCUGACGCUGAGGCACGAAAGCGUGGGUAUCGAACAGGAUUAGAUACCCGGGUAGUC